AAAAGGGCAGAACACGACAUCUAUUCUUUUUGUACCAAGAAGGUGUAAUGUCAUGGCUCAUAACUUGGCAAAGGUAGCUUUAGAUCGUGUAGACCCUGUCCUUUGGAUAGGGAUGGCAAUGGGCAACGCCGCAGCGGGUUUGCCAUUAUUAAACACAAAUCCGCACAAAAUUUAAAUUAUUAAACUCACCCGCAACCCGCAGCGGGUUUUAAUUUUUUUACAAAAAUCCACCCGCAGCGGGUUUUAACAAUUACCAAACCCGCAAUGGUAUCCAGCGGAUUUUUUGCGGGUUUCCGUAUUUAAAAUCACAAAUGUUUAAUAUAUAAAUUUAUAAUAAUAACCUCAAAUUUCAUAUAACAUACUCAAUUUUAUAUUUAAACAAUGUAAAUGAAAAAUUAAAAUUUUCACAUCAAUUCAACACAAAUUCUCAAAUUUAAGUAUAAAUUACACAAAUCCAUUUAAAAAACACAAAUUAGUAUCUAAAAAUAAUAAUUAUAUUUCAUAUUAUCAUUUAAAACAAGCAAAAUAAUAAUUAUAUUUCAUAUUAUCAUUUAAAACAAGCUCCAAGAGAAGAUAUUCAUUUCAUUCACCACCAUAAGCACCCAUCCAACACAAUGCCUAUAAUAAUAAUUAAAAUUAAUAUUUUCAAAUACUAAUUCGAAGGAAAAUGCCUUUAGUUUUCUUUAGAUUAUGACUUUAGAAUAGGAGAUAGGCCACAUACACAUAUACACAAUUUUGAGCCUUUGGCUAUUUGGUAAUUUGAUUAAUGACCUUAUUUUAUUUAUACAUUUUUAGAUUAAAAUUAAAUUAAAAAUAUUUGAAAAAAAUAUUGCGGGUUUGGUGGAUAUCCAUGUGGAUAUUCACCGGAUAUAAGGUUAAUACCAAACCCACCCGCAUCCAUAUGCGGGUUUUAAUUUAUAAUACUAAACUCACCCGCAAUGGAUAAAAUUACCCACAACGGACGGGUUUUGGCAGGUGAAUUUGGAUGAAUUUGCGGGUUUGCUGGUACAAUUACCAUCCCUACCUUUGGAUAGGAAACUGCCCAAUUCCCCGCUGUGGAUGUUAUUCUCCAAUUUUAAUCAAUGGAAAGGCCUACUUUCUCUAAAAAAAAAAAAAAAUGAACCAUCAACUAUCUAAACGUCGUAAUUCAAAAACCCAUCUAAGAUGUCAAAAAUAAAUAAAAAUUCCAAGAAGUACAAUCAUGAGAAGAAAAAUACAUAAAAUAAAAGAAUACAAGAAAAAGCAGAGGAUUUGAAUGGGUCAUGGACUUGCAUUAGCUGUAGUGCUAUCACUAUCAAAAAAUAACCCAUAUGCCACUAUGUGGAAUCCACCAUUUCUUUUCAUAUCUUUCUUUUUAUUUUUAUUUUUUCAAGUUUUUUAUUCAAUUCAUAUCCCCAUACAUUUAUGCUUCUCUAGACCUUCACGUCAUUGAUUUCUGAACUCACGUCUGCUUCACGUCAUUGAUCUUUGUUGCAUACGUAAAUUUGUGCUAAGAUUAAAUUUAAUUUAUGGCAACUGGGCAUGUGAAGAAACAACUGUUUGAGAAGUUGAAGUUGAGGAAAAUAAAAGACAGACACAGAGAGAAACUGUUUGUGAAAAUGCCUUUCUUACUCAGCUGGGGAACAACGCCCAGCUUUCUAGACAAACAGGCCCCAUGCCCACCGUCACACCAGUGAGCAAAGGCAUUGGUCUUAUUGGCUGGCUUGAGCAGAAUGCGCAAAGAAAGGCUCUUUCAUUCUUUACAUUUUAUACAGUUAAAAGGUUAUACUAAAUCAAAGGACUCGUGGCAUGGACAGGUCAAACAAGGCAAUCGCAGCAAAAGAUUCUAAUUGAGUGAAUAUCUGCUGGAAUUUUACAAGAAAAAGUUCUGUCUCCUCACACUAUAAUACUGUUUACUGGAUGAGGACACACUACAAAAAGGUAAAAUAUCAUUAUUAGUUACUGUAUUUGAAAGCAAAAUGGAACACCCAAAUCCAAAACAUUAAUAUAUCCUUUAAAAAAAAUUUAAUAUAUAUAUGGGUCCAGUCGUAAUUAUGGUAUGGUACCGUGUUCAGUCAUUAGAUUC
RNAcentral lists this long non-coding RNA (2065 nucleotides) under Citrus x clementina. Its description in RNAcentral is "Citrus clementina (C. clementina) long non-coding RNA (CCLE_LNC003695)". Lineage: Eukaryota; Viridiplantae; Streptophyta; Magnoliopsida; Sapindales; Rutaceae. The record is from RNAcentral.